AUGACCAGCUUCUGCAGUUUCCUUACUUUCUCCAUAAUCAAAAGAGAGUUCUCCAUCAUGACUGCCAUUGUAAUCGUCAUCAUUUUCAUCUUCAACAGAGUAAUCCUCAUCUUCAAGUGCACUGAACUGAUGAUCGAUGUGUUGUUGCUCGGCAGCAAGCCUAACAUGUGGCUCCACAGCCUCAAGAGACUUGACACCCUUUCUGAAUAA
This 210-nucleotide ribosomal RNA is filed under the name Triticum aestivum (bread wheat). Its description in RNAcentral is "partial small subunit ribosomal RNA". The record is from RNAcentral. Lineage: Eukaryota; Viridiplantae; Streptophyta; Magnoliopsida; Poales; Poaceae.